Molecule: ribosomal RNA, 463 nt
Filed under: uncultured bacterium
Lineage: Bacteria
Description: partial 16S ribosomal RNA
Rfam family: Bacterial small subunit ribosomal RNA
Source: RNAcentral
GAUGAACGCUGACAGAAUGCUUAACACAUGCAAGUCGAUGGGGAAGUGGUGCUUGCACCAUGGUAACCAUGGCGGACGGGUGAGUAACGCGUAAGGAACUUGCCUGCGGGACUGGGAUAACAGCAGGAAACUGCUGAUAAUACCGGAUAAGGUCAUUAAGCUGCAUAGCUUAGUGAUGAAAGGAGACGCCUGCGGAGAGCCUUGCGUCCUAUUAGCUAGUUGGAGGGGUAACGGCCCACCAAGGCGAAGAUAGGUAGCCGGCCUGAGAGGGUGGACGGCCACAAGGGGACUGAGAUGCGGCACUUACUCCUACGGGAGGCAGCAGUGGAGAAUAUUGGACAAUGGGGGCAACCCUGAUCCAGCAAUUCUGUGUGCACGAAGACGGUUUUCGGAUUGUAAAGUGCUUUCAGCAGGGAAGAAGGAAGUGACGGUACCUGCAGAAGAAGCGACGGCUAAAUACGUG